AGUCGAUAGGCGUAAUGGUAAGAAGAGAAGCAAAAAAACCCAUUUUUUUCCUAUAUUUCACUCUUCUCAACCGUGGGAUUGAGCAUCAAAGGCGGAGAACAGUAUCGUGGAGAUCAUCGUCAGGGAGCGGGAGGAGGUUGAGAUCGAAAGGCAGCGGCGGCCGGCACAUCAACACGACAUCGCCAUCAUCAUCGAUGACGGAGGAGGAGGAGCCGCAGUCGCUGUGGCAGUCGUCGUCGCCGUUGAGCACGCGCGGGGGAGGCGGUGGGUUGGCCUGCCUCUUGAGGAUAGGUGGCCGGAGGCGGAUAGGCGCCGCCGCAGACGGGAGCCGCGGCCCGCUGAAUGACUCCACGG
RNAcentral lists this long non-coding RNA (354 nucleotides) under Musa acuminata (dwarf banana). Its description in RNAcentral is "long non-coding RNA (MACU_LNC000309)". Lineage: Eukaryota; Viridiplantae; Streptophyta; Magnoliopsida; Zingiberales; Musaceae. The record is from RNAcentral.